This 253-nucleotide ribosomal RNA is filed under the name uncultured bacterium. Its description in RNAcentral is "partial 16S ribosomal RNA". It matches the Rfam family "Bacterial small subunit ribosomal RNA", at positions 524 to 776 of the family's 1533-position model. The record is from RNAcentral.
UACGGGGGGGGCAAGCGUUGUUCGGAAUUACUGGGCGUAAAGCGUGCGCAGGCGGUUUGCUAAGAGAGAUGUGAAAUCCCCGGGCUUAACCUGGGAACUGCGUUUCUAACUGGCAGGCUAGAGUGUGGCAGAGGGGGGUGGAAUUCCACGUGUAGCAGUGAAAUGCGUAGAGAUGUGGAGGAACACCGAUGGCGAAGGCAGCCCCCUGGGCUAACACUGACGCUCAUGCACGAAAGCGUGGGGAGCAAACAGG